CGGGGUGCACCAGGCGCGAAAACUUUACAAUGCCGGCAACGGCGAUAAGGGAACCUCGAGUGCCAGGUUACAAAUCUGGCUGUCGUGAUGCCUAAAAAGCAUUGCAUAGCAAGGGCCGGGCAAGACCGGUGCCAGCCGCCGCGGUAACACCGGCGGCUCGAGUGGUAACCGUUAUUAUUGGGUCUAAAGGGUCUGUAGCCGGCCGGGUAAGUCUCUUGGGAAAUCUGGCAGCUUAACUGUCAGGCUUUCAGGAGAUACUGCCUGGCUCGAGGCCGGGAGAGGUGAGAGGUACUUCAGGGGUAGGGGUGAAAUCUUGUAAUCCUUGAAGGACCACCAGUGGCGAAGGCGUCUCACCAGAACGGACCUGACGGCAAGGGACGAAAGCUAGGGGCACGAACCGGAUUAGAUACCCGGGUAGUCCUAGCCGUAAACGAUACUCGCUAGGUGUCGGCCACGGUGCGACCGUGGUCGGUGCCGUAGGGAAGCCGUGAAGCGAGCCACCUGGGAAGUACGGCCGCAAGGCUGAAACUUAAAGGAAUUGG
Molecule: ribosomal RNA, 542 nt
Filed under: uncultured archaeon
Lineage: Archaea
Description: bacterial SSU rRNA
Rfam family: Archaeal small subunit ribosomal RNA
Source: RNAcentral